UGGCAAAGGGUGGGGCUUAAGGCAAGCUUUACCCUUUGUUAGACUGACAAAAGAAGUGAAGCUUGCCUUAAGCCCCCAACCUUUUGUCACAUUUUUUA
Molecule: non-coding RNA, 98 nt
Organism: Pelobates cultripes (western spadefoot toad)
Lineage: Eukaryota; Metazoa; Chordata; Amphibia; Anura; Pelobatidae
Source: the annotation of a GenBank genome assembly